RNAcentral lists this ribosomal RNA (441 nucleotides) under uncultured bacterium. RNAcentral's name for it is "partial 16S ribosomal RNA". It matches the Rfam family "Bacterial small subunit ribosomal RNA", at positions 338 to 795 of the family's 1533-position model. The record is from RNAcentral.
CCUACGGGAGGCAGCAGUGGGGGAUAUUGCACAAUGGACGAAAGCCUGCUGCAGCAACGCCGCGUGAAGGAAGACGGUUUUCGGAUUGUAAACUUCUGUUCUUAGUGAAGAAUAAUGACGGUAACUAAGGAGCAAGCCACGGCUAACUACGUGCCAGCAGCCGCGGUAAUACGGAGGUGGCAAGCGUUGUCCGGGAUUACUGGGUGUAAAGGGAGCGUAGGCGGGAAGCCAAGUCAGCUGUGAAAACUACGGGCUUAACCUGUAGACUGCAGUUGAAACUGGCUUUCUUGAGUGAAGGAGAGGUAGGCGGAAUUCCGGGGGUAGCGGUGAAAUGCGUAGAUAUUCGGAGGAACACCGGUGGCGAAGGCGGCCAACUGGGCUUUAACUGACGCUGAGGCUCGAAAGUGUGGGGAGCAAACAGGAUUAGAUACCCGUGUAGUC